This 211-nucleotide long non-coding RNA is filed under the name Homo sapiens (human). RNAcentral describes it as "non-protein coding TTC39C-AS1:3". The record is from RNAcentral. Lineage: Eukaryota; Metazoa; Chordata; Mammalia; Primates; Hominidae.
AGAGGAGCCUACCGGCACCGGGCACGUCUGUGGGAGGGCGAGGCUGGGAGAAAGGCACUGAGCUAAAGAUGAGAAGAAGCGUUCCCUGGAGCCUGCAUGGCAUCAAUCAUGAGAAUGGAUGUUGAGGGUUAUGCACCCCACUGAGGCAGCACUGAAUGCCAGAUCCCAAGUUACAGAGGUGCUUGUAUGUUUUUAAAUAAAUUUAUGCGUG